This 101-nucleotide ribosomal RNA is filed under the name Chloroflexota bacterium. Its description in RNAcentral is "Chloroflexi bacterium (marine sediment metagenome) partial 23S ribosomal RNA". It matches the Rfam family "Bacterial large subunit ribosomal RNA", at positions 1 to 99 of the family's 2925-position model. The record is from RNAcentral. Lineage: Bacteria; Bacillati; Chloroflexota.
GGUCAAGCUACUACGGGCACAUGGUGGAUGCCUUGGCAUCACAGGCCGAAGAAGGGCGUAGCAAGACUGCGAAAAGCCUCGGUUUGUCGUCUAGCAGACUU